RNAcentral lists this unclassified non-coding RNA (516 nucleotides) under Zea mays. RNAcentral describes it as "misc RNA Zm00001eb195350". Lineage: Eukaryota; Viridiplantae; Streptophyta; Magnoliopsida; Poales; Poaceae. The record is from RNAcentral.
CGUCUGUGGGAUUUGAAUCGCUCAACUACGUUCCGAUAUGAGCUCAUAUUUGACCUUGGAGAAGUAUAUGCUAUAGCAAGUUUGAAGGGUACAAGGAUUGUGAUUGGACACGAAAUAGGAUUAGCACUGGUAGACAUAGACCUAGAGGGCAAGAAGGAUGGAUAUGUGAAGAGCAAUGUCGCAAUUAUGGAUUCAAAAAAUGACACAGAUCAAAAUAUGAAAGAGUUAAGCCCAACAGCUUCCUCAAGUGAGGUGCAAAAGGUGUCAAGCAUUAUAGCAUUGGAGACUCUAUACAAAAUGAAGUCAUCAGAAUCGUCUAUAGAUGUCCAUCCAACAGAGACAUGGAUGGUCAUUACAUCCGACAAAUAUGUUCAUAUAUGGGACUACCAUACAAGGGAAGUGAAACAGAUGAUGGAUACUAAGGGAGCGAAAGUCAGAUUGGCUAAAUUUAUAGCCCGCAAGCAAUGGGUUAUUGCGGGUGCUACUAGUGGAUUCAUCUUCGUCUAUGAUUAUGAC